AUUCAAGUAGUUUAUAUUAAAAUUUUAACUUGUGGGGUUUAAGGAAAUAGUAGUUAUAUCUUGAAUA
RNAcentral lists this transfer RNA (67 nucleotides) under Pseudoneureclipsis achim. RNAcentral describes it as "tRNA-His". Lineage: Eukaryota; Metazoa; Arthropoda; Insecta; Trichoptera; Polycentropodidae. The record is from RNAcentral.